RNAcentral lists this small RNA (79 nucleotides) under Pseudomonas aeruginosa. Its description in RNAcentral is "isrK". It matches the Rfam family "isrK Hfq binding RNA". Lineage: Bacteria; Pseudomonadati; Pseudomonadota; Gammaproteobacteria; Pseudomonadales; Pseudomonadaceae. RNAcentral also lists the same sequence under 2 other names. The record is from RNAcentral.
GUCGCUGUAAGUCCAGCGGCCUGGGAUUGGCCUCCCGGAAAUCACAGGCGGACACGACCGCCAGCAGAGCGGUUUUUUU